Molecule: ribosomal RNA, 253 nt
Filed under: uncultured bacterium
Lineage: Bacteria
Description: partial 16S ribosomal RNA
Rfam family: Bacterial small subunit ribosomal RNA
Source: RNAcentral
UACAGAGGAGCCAAGCGUUGUUUGGAUUGAUUGGGCGUAAAGCGCACGCAGGCGGUUGCGCGCGUGGGGUGUGAAAUCUGGCCGCUUAACGGCCAGGCGCCAUCCCAUACGGCGCGAUUGGAGCGAUGCAGAGGUCGGUGGAAUUGCCGGUGUAGUGGUGAAAUGUGUAGAGAUCGGCAGGAAUACUCAGGGGGAAACCAGCCGACUGGGCAUCUGCUGACGCUGAUGUGCGAGAGCGUGGGGAGCGAACCGG